UUCUUUGCGCAGUGGCAGUAUCGUAGCCAAUGAGGUUUAUCCGAGGCGCGAUUAUUGCUAAUUGGAAUGCAUUGCCAGUUAUCAGCUCUUGCUGGGUCACCUUUCAUAAGUAUAUGUGCUGUUCUUUUGAAU
RNAcentral lists this small nuclear RNA (132 nucleotides) under Neogale vison (American mink). RNAcentral's name for it is "Neovison vison (American mink) U4 spliceosomal RNA (ENSNVIG00000017701.1)". It matches the Rfam family "U4 spliceosomal RNA". Rfam says of the family: U4 small nuclear RNA (U4 snRNA) is a component of the major U2-dependent spliceosome. The structure of U4 snRNA from yeast and human has been reported. The record is from Rfam by way of RNAcentral. Lineage: Eukaryota; Metazoa; Chordata; Mammalia; Carnivora; Mustelidae.